AAAAAAAGAAGUGCCUGUUAUUGGACUAUGUAGAAACUUGAAAAUUUGAGGUGUUUCCUUUUCAUAUAAUUUAUGCUAUUAAAAUGAGUGGACCAGUCUUUCAGCAUUCUAUUCUCUUCUUAGUUUCUAAACCUACUCACAUAACGGCUCAUUGAGUGAAAUUAUAUUUAUUUUCAUUCUGAUACUAUCAGUCUAUUUUAAAAGUAGUGUAAAAUGAUCUCCAUACCUUCCCUCUGAUUUCAGGCACCUGAGUUUCCUGAACAAUGGUUUUGCUGGUGAAAACUGAGGGAAAGGAGACCUUCAUUACCUCAACCUUUUCCAUGUCAAUUAUCAUUAUUCACUUUGUCCUGCUCAGCAGAUUACCUACGUUUUCUCUAGUCAUCCUAUUGCUGCUUAUCUUGUAAAUGCUUGCAAAAUCCCCCCUUGUUGCCUUCCACAUACUUUGCUAGAUUGAACUCUAAGCUAGCUUUAGCUUUUCAAAUUCUAUCCCAGCAAGAGUGGAUAUAGCAGCUCUGGACUCCUCCUUGAUCACCUGCCCAUGCUUCUACCUCUUGUGCACUUCCUUUUUAUGUAUGAAUUCAGACAGAAACACUAUGUUCAUCCAUGAAGGCCUCCUGCCACCAUUAUUUGAUUUCUUGCUUGGCAAGGUGGAUGUCUGUUGAGCUUGUAUAAUGGCAUCCUUAAAUAUAAACCAAUUUUCUUGGACAUUCUCUCUAGGGAUGUAUCACAUGAAAUUCUUAUAAGCAGAUUCCUGAAGUUAUUUACAUCUUUUCUCCUUAAAUCCAGGGUUGCUUUUUGCCCCAUUCCGUUCUCUUAGGAUCUGGAACUCCAUCAUCUCGUGGUCAUGGUAGCCAAGCCUGCCCCAAACUUUCAUGUUACUGCCCAGUUCUUCCUUUUCUUAUUUGUAAGUGUCAGGUCCAGCAGAGCACUUUUUCUUGUUGAUUUCUCAAUUACCUGUGCCACGAAGCUGUCAUCAAUGCAGUUAAAAAAUCUGGAUUUUUUUUUUACCCCUGCUGUAAUGUCCUCCUAGCAGAUGUCAGGUUAGCUGAAGCCACGGUAAGGACCAAGGCCUCAUGCAAACUUAGGACUUUAUCCAGUUGUUUGAACAAGGCCUCACAUCUUCCUUAUCAGGAGAUCUAUAGCAGAUGCCCACUGUAGUGAUGCCGGUCUACCUACUAAACUUCACCAAAAGCUCUCAGCUGAUACUUUUCCCAUCCCAAGGAGGAGUUCCAUCCAUUCCAGCUCAUCUCAUACAUAAGAGAUCAACUUACUGUCCUUGCCUUCCCUGCCUGUCCUUAAAUGCCCUCCAUCACAGCAUCCCAGUCAUGUCAACCAUCCCAUGACAUCUUUAUGAUAACAAUGAAGUUAUUGCUUUGUAAUUUCGCACACUCCAGGCUGCAUGUACAGGUGUAGAGGCAUUGCAAAGAGCCAUCCAACCAUUCUGAUUUCUCAGUAUAGGUUUGAGAACUUCCCAAUAAGGCCAUUCUCCAGGCAUUUCCUACUUUACAUGCCAACACUGAAACAAAUUUCAAUUCUGUUCUGUUUAUUUGUUGAUUGCUAUGUGUCUCACUUUCCCAUCAGCCAAGGCUCUUGGUUUACUUACCCUAUGCCCAUUUUACUUGCACUUGUUUUGAGGAGUUGCUACUUCCAUCAUUGUAUCUCAGUAUUGCUGUGGGAAAAAUGGGCCUCCGCAAAUGCCUAAGUUUAUCUGGGGCUGUGAAACAGAUUUUGGGAAAUAGUUAAUGCAUUGUGAGUAAUCUAUUUGAAAAAUGAGAAACUGUAGAAAGUAACACACGAAUCCUUUUAUCUGAAACUUCAGCAGGGUAUAAAUAUUCUUACUGUAUCAUUGCUCAGUAAAUAAAAAAUGAUAAACAUUAAUAGAAAGUAGGUUUAAAGAAACUGUGAUAGUGUUUGCUUGUACUUGACUCUUUCUAAACCACCUGCAGUAGAUUUCUGCUCCUUAAAUUUUGUUUUAAACUGCAAACUCAAAAAUAUACCCUGAGCUUAAGAGAGUGGAAAUUCUCUUAAAAUUAGAUCACAGGAAAAAGAAUCUGAAUCAUUAAAUGAUACUGCCUGUAACAAAAAAGGAAAACCAGAAUCUAAUUAUGCAGUGUUGCAGACCUUUAAAAGCUGAAAGCUGAAGCUGAAUUUUAGUUAACUGAAAAUGUCUUUUGAAUUUGAAGUGAACCAAGUAACAACUCUCAGCACAAAUAUAUGAAUUUUUAAUAAACUCGUCUCUCAGUUCUUAUCAUGUUCUGUGCUCAGUGCACACAUAGACUUCUAGGACUUACAUAUAAAUAUCAAGGGGAUAUUAAUUCCAAAACCUACAUGGAUAUAUUGAUUUCUUUCAUGUUAUUGAGAUUAAUAGUUCAAAUGAUUAAUCUUUUGGUGUGUAUUUAAGAUAAAACAUUAUCAGAAAACAUCCAUUUAUGUGGUAAAAUCAACAAAGAGAAAUGUCAACAGAAAAAAAAGUGGAAUGGGAAAAUCAUAAUAAAAUGAAGACAUAAUUGGCUGAAGAAAUUUAAAGUUAUUUUGAUAAGAGAGACUACUAGAGAAACUAAAAUAUUUAUGCUAUUUGACAAUCUGCUGUUUCUCAAAGUUUUAUUCCUAAUUAUUCAUAAUGCAAAGCUAUUUACAGAAAACAUAUUUUUGAUUUAAUCUUUCUGUAUUUUUUGUCCAAGUCACUGUAUGUCUUAAAAGAUCUUAUGAUAUAUGAGAACUUCAGGUGCAUGUGUUUUAGUUGCUUAAGGGUUUAAAAUCUGCUGGUAAGGUGCACAGUAUAGGAGGUUAUAGUGAUGUAUGAAAAACAGAUGUAGCAGAGCAGUGAAACGGUACUGAAGAUAGCUAAAAUACAUGUCAGCAAACCUGGAUAUGGAAAAGCCAGUUUAAAUCAUUGAUAUCCCUCAAUGUGACUACAGCUUCACUGUGUAGCAGAAUUAAUGGGACUUUGCAAGUUCCUUCUGCGUAGAUAUUUUCAUUACAAUGAAAUCCUGUAAUGUUCAAAAGUAGUACUGCUAUGUUUAGAGUUUUCCAGAUAUUAUGAUCUGUGUCUUCCUUUGUUCUGAAUUAUCCUUAUUAUUACUGCAUCGCUAGUAUAAAGAUGUCAGGAAACAAAGCUCUAUAUUCUUUCUUCCAUCUCAUUGCUGCUUGACUUUGAAAAAGUCAUUUAAUACUUUGGAUGAAAAUUUUGAAGAAGUAUCUGAAGUUUGGCUCCUACAUAUUCCAGUGCUGAUGGCAUAUUUUUAGAGACACCAAGUGCAACUGUUUGCUUUGUUGUCUCAGUGGAAAAAUUUCACCAAAAAGCCUGUUUUCUAAAAUUCUCAGAGGAGUAUCUUGUCCUCCCAGUGAAGGACUUCAAAUGCAAUUCUUAGAAACACUCCUUUGGUGGAAAAUUUGGGAAGAUUUCAAAUAUAUAUAUAGUCAUGGGCACAUUUAAAGAAUAUGUUAGCCUAAUGGAAAUGAUUUUUCCAAUUGCAAAAGUUUGGGGUAUUUUUUACUGUGUCUGCAGUUUUUAUCAGUCCAACAAAAGUGGACUGCAUACUCUUUCUUGGUUACAAUUUUCUCUCAUAUGAAUAGAACUAUGCAAGUAAUAUCAACAUUAUUACUGUGCACUUUAUACUUGGAUAAUUUCAAAAUUCUUGCGUGCUUCACUGUGUUGCCUUCUGCGUGGAAUGUCUGAAAGAAAGAAAAGUAGGACAUAGAGAAAUACAACACAUUUCCUGCUUUUCUGUCUUUCUUAAUGCAGGUUCAACUUGAUGAAAACCAACAACACAGUAACCUUGUUACUCAUCUUCAGCCAAGUAACAUUUUAUACAGACACAAAAUUAAUUGUGUAUGGAAAUGUGAAUACUGUAAAAAUGGUACAGUAAAUGGAGUGCUAGCAUGUCAUAUAUACAGUCAUUUAAAUUAAACCCUGAGGUUUUAACCAUACUUAGAAUAGUGUUUUAGGGUUAUUACCUGUUAGACAGGUAGUAGUCUCCCAUUAUCUAUAAUUAAGAGAACAUAAUUUAUAACAAAUAGUGUUAAUUCUCCUCUUCAGUCUGCGGUCAGCAGAAUACUGAGACAAAUAGUUCCAAUAUUCCGACACUUUACUCUAAUAGAUAUUAUCCUCAGGUCAUUUCCUAGUCCAGUGUUAGAUAUUUUGAUACUCUCAAAAAUAGAAUAAAAAAGUGAAUUUGCAUCAGCAUCCAUCACAAGCUUCAUUCUUAAUUAGGCAUUCUAGUGAAUUCAGUUAACAGAGAAGGCACUUAAGGCAGAAGAUAUCUUAAACUGUGCACCAUUUAAUGUACAGAAAUAGAAAAAAUAUGAUUUAUAAUACAUAGAUUAUGAAUAACAUUAUAUUGAUGAGUGUUGUUGAAUGCUAUGCUUGUAAGUUUUUGAAUGGUUAGAAGGAAUAAAUAAAAGUUAUCAGUAUCUCAAAUUUUGCAGACUAGUCUUUCCACUAUACAUACUGUAUUUCUGGAAAAGCUGUAACAUGCAUUCACUCUUUCUCCUCUUUUAUUUCUGAAUGUUUGAAAUCCUAUUCCAUUAUUGCUGAAAGUGUUACAGAACUGCAACUUAUGCACAAAUACCUCAGCUGACUUCAGUGUAUUUGUUUACAUCACUGGACAUUCUUCCUUAGCAGCAGCAUUUAACCUUCACUACAGUGAUUUUUUUUUUUUUUUUUUUUCUGCAGCAAUCUCUGUGACUCAGCACUGAUAAAUGCAAAAUGUUUGCAGGCAAACAGAAAAACUCUAGAGCACAUUUGCCUGGUAUUUAUGCAGUUGCUUCCUGAGGGUGAUGGCAAAUAUGAGAAAAAUAGGAAAUCUAUCUUUUUCCUUUUAUAAAUGUGAUUUCUGUGUUUCAGAAUCCUGCCAAAUGUUGUUCUCAAUCAGUCUUAAGGUGAAACAUGAAAACUUGACUCUUUUUCAGAAAUCAAAAUAUGUUAAGAUCCUGGCCUAGCCUAUGACAUGUUCAGGUUCUAUUAAUCUAAAAGACAAUCACAUUCAGGAGUCCCUGAUAUUAAUUGUAGAAAAAUAAUUACUUUUGUAUUACUUGGAAUGUUAUCAUUACUGUCUUCUGGAAAAAUUAACACAAUGUAACUUCUUGUUACAGAGAACUUGCUUACUGAAUUUUGUAUUAGAGAUAUCUAUGGAUGGCGAUAGCAUUAUAUGAAGUAAUAAUAAAGCCCGCUACCCUUCCCUCAUAAUGAAUGCUCAGCCAAUCAGUAUUGCAUCUCAAAAUAAGUUUUGAAUUCAAUUUGUAAGGUUGUUUGGGUUUAUUUCAUUUAUAGUGUUUAAUCAGGACUGAACGGAAAUGUUUGUGGGCCUUUGCGUUCUUAGAGGAAACAGGGCAGUUGGAAUUUCUUCUUGGGGUUUAAAGAUAGUGUCCAGAUGCUGUCCUCCUUAAUCCAUUUCUAUUACACCAGCAUCACCUCUUUCAGCCCCUGUAAGUACACUUGUUCAGCAUCAGGAGUACACACUUCUCUUUCAGAAAAAUAAAAACAGACACACAUAUGGGAAAUGUAAUCAUGUAUUUUGGUAAGAAUAAAAUAUUAUAUACUUUAGAAAUUAUUGUUUUGUAAACUGUUGGGAUGAGAGGGAAACAAUCUGCCUCAAAACACAUGAAUGUAAAGUAGUGCAGUAUUUUGCGAAAUUUAUAUAUUGAAGAAUCAAUAUUUUACUCAUUCACUUGAGAUAUAAGAUCUGUGCUUGAAAUGUGCUGGUUUUGACCUAUGAGCAAUGGAGAAUUUAAACAGUCUCUUCAGUGCAGUAACAACAAAGCACAUAUUAUAGCAUCUUCCCUAAAAGAGUCACAAGAGACCUAUCUGCGAUCUUUCAGCACGUCAAACACAGUGAUUCUGACUAAUUUCUAGUGUGCUGAAAGGAAAAAUAAAUGUUGUUUAGGUUUCCUAGACAACAGCCUAUGCUUUGAAAGUAAGCUCUGGUAUAUAUUUUAUUCAAAUCUAGCAUACAAUCUGAGAGUAAAAGAACAUGCAUGUCUGGCAUUGUUUGCCUGGGCUGCUUCAGAUAAACAGAAAUACUGCCAGGCAGCAGUAUUACCCAUUUAAUAUCAUUUUGGGGGGAUAGAUAUUUAGACAGUAAUACUUCUCCUUCAUUUACUUAUAGAAAGGCUAAUUAUAUGAUCUUUCUUCAUCUUUCACAAUUAUGUUUCUUAUAUGUUCAUUCUAUUUUUCAAAUGGGCAAAUAUGUACUGUAAAGCAACAAAUGGCAAUGCAUUUCUUUGUAAUUUUUUGUGUAUUCCAUUUUUAACAAAAUAUUAUUUUCCAUCUUUCUCCACACAUAUUCCUCCUUCUGCAUAGCUUAACCUUACUGAUAGAUGUCUGCUAUCCUUAACUGCCAGUUCAAGAGCAAUAGUAAUAUGGAUUAGACUGAAAUUUUUGUAACAGGUCACAGAACAGGAAAUAUUCUCCACAGAAAACAACAAGUAAUUUAAUCAGUGCUUUCCUAUAUGCAAUUGAUGAUAUAUAAAUUAUUGUGAAACAACAUUAAUAUGAUUUCUAUCAUACAUGUUAUCGUAUAGAAGCAUUGUUUUGCGGCGUUGCUUUAAAGACCAAAUGGUUUAUCCAAGUGAGCUGAUUUGCAGAUACAACAUAUUUCAGGUGAAACUCUAGUGAACCAAUUCAAAUUUAAUGGAAUCUUUUGUCCAGUAGUGCUCCUUGCAGAAAGAGGGAAGAAAUAAAAAAAAAAAUUCUGAUUUUUUUUUUUUUUUAAGGCAGACAAUUCCUCUAUGGCAUUUUAUUCCAAAGAAAUAAGUUUUCUACAUGAAUUGUUGAAUUUUAGCAAUAGAAAUUGAUUCUGAUGCUCCAUUUUCUGCCUUUUAAAUAAUGUUAAAGUAGCAUAACAGAACAAAAAACAGCUGUUUUCUAUGAAAGUUAAUGCUUGAAAUCCCCCAAAUUUAUGAUAAUUUUUCUUGAGAUUGGUAUUGCUUGUCUCUACCAGACAAAAUAAAUGUUUUCUUCUUUAUUCAAUCAUUGUUUUUAAAAUCCAUCAUAGACACAACACCAAAGUCUAAAAAUAUUAAUAUAAAAAUAUAUAAAUGUGAAUUAUGCCUCUAUUAAAUUAGAUGAAUUUACCAAAUUAUUUGUCAUUUUAAAUACAGUGUGUGAAUGAAUAUAUGAGCAGUUAUUCUUGUUUAGUAAAUUAAAAUAUGUGACAGUCCAGCGAGUAGUCUGAGUUCAAAGCAGACUUUUUUUGGUUGUCAGACUGCAUUCUGUCAUUUACUUCCAGAAAUAAAAACUUGCAAUACACAUGUAUGGUUGUGACUAUUCUGAUGCAAAAAAAAAUUAAGUAAUUAUGUAUAUAAUUAACAGUUACCUUUUUCAUUGAAAGUCUUGACGUAUAUUUCCAGAGCAGUUGGUUAUCUGUCAGAAUUGGCCAGGAAGCUCCUUUCAGUUGAAAGCUGUUUCAUGUCAAUGUUAACUGCAGCAUAAUUAUUCAUAGGAAAUAAAUUUAAAGUAUUUGUUUUAUGUCACUUUAACCGUAUGUACACUUUAAGAUGAGAAAUGAAUAGGUAAAGUCAGAAUCAGAUAUAUCAUAAAAGUCAUAUCAACAAAGCUGUUAUUAGUAAGUUGUUAGUAUUUUUUUUAGAUGAGGUCUCUUUAAAACACACAUAAAAUGGACUCCUUUCUUCACUCACAGCAACUUUUAGUGAAGUCUAAUUCUACAGCAUUUGGGGGAUAUUUAUAAAAUCAUCUUCAGCCUCUUCAUCAUAAGCCUCUGAAGUGAAGAAAAGUGAGCCUUAGUAAAUUUAGUGGGACUCUGUCCUGGUAUGCUGGUAUUGGGUUUCAUUUACCUGGAGACAGAAUAAGUAGGGUAGGAUGCAGGAUCAGCACCUAAAUGAGAAGAGGAUACAGCCUGUGAAUCAGGGAAUGCAAAGGAUGACAUACUGUCAUUCAGCAGCUUCUUGUGCCCACCCAAUGGCAGGGCAGUUGCCUGACCUGGUAGUACAAAUACCAUGCAUUCCUAUCAAGUUUCCACAUUUCACAGCAGCAUGUCUGAGGCUGGUGUGUGAGAACAGGUCAGCUGCUAACUGCUGAAAGCUGGAAGAUGUACUAGUGAAUAAUCACUGGAUGAAUGCCUGCAUGUAUUCUCCUCCAGAGCACACAAAACUGUUCUGUGUCUGUGGGCUCUAUGGAGGGAGAGGGUUUGUUUUCACUCUCUAAGAGUUGAAAGCUGAAAGCAGUAUUGGAUCUUCUGCCUCCAAAAUGCAGUGCAAAGGUUUUUGUUUUUGUUUUCAGGUAAAAGCCUUUGCAGUAGCGCAGCAUUGGUGUCAUUUUGGCACAACUUAACUUGUGUCAGGUUACAUUUAAAGAACUGUUAGAAGAACUUCAGAAUAUACAUGGUUUAAGCACUGACAUUUGGCCACAGAUGCCACUGUGAGAUCCCAAAUUGCCAUUGCAAAUAGCUAGGGUAUUAAUGGGGAAUUAAAUCUCUUCCCAGUAAAAGCUGGAGACAGCAUCUCCUUUUAUGCUUCCCUGCCCUGUCUGAACUACUUCCCUUUUAUAACAGCUGCAUUUCUGCCAAGUGCUUCAUCCUUGCAGCCAGGAACUAUAAAAGCAAAGUGUCCUUGCCAUUUGGGAGAGAUGUUGACAGGAGGUAGAUGCAAUGAUCCCCUGCAUACUUACAGCAUCAAUUCUUUCCCAGUAGCAUCACAUAUUCAUUAACGACUAACUGCCAAAUGUCAUUCUCUGGAAUGAAGACAGUACUAGAGAGUCUAGUCUGGGUAUCUGUGACAACAAAAUUCAAAUUCUUAUUUCUCUGUAGGAAUCAGCUUAAAACCAACUUUAGUAAUAAACAAAGAAGGUGGACAUAAACUUAACACUGAAUUGAAUUCACACUUUAGAGAUAAACUUCUAUAUAAAGUGCAUGGAAAUGAUGUAAGGUAAAGUACUAUGCUCAGCAGCAAGUUGGACACUGAAUUUAGAGAGAAUAUAAUUUAUUUUCCAAAGGUAGGAGGGCAGCAGGAUUCAAUCUUUGGUCUUGAAAAUUAAGUGAUGCAUUUCAGUUUCAUGAUAAUGGCAGAAAUUAUGUUGAAAUUAGGGUAGGAUAUCUAAGCCUUCCUGCACCUAAGUGAAACAUAUAAUAAUAACAGACUAUCUCCUAACAUUUAGUAGAAAUCAAUGAACUGAAGUGAUCUGGGUUUUCAAACAUUAUAGUGUAGACCUGGUAAGUACCAUCCACAGAAGGAAAGCUGUGCUUUCUCAUUGCUAAACCUGGGCAUGCAAUGUGUAUGUAUUUGUCUGUAAUAUUGGCAAACCAAGCAGAUGGUAAAACAGUGCUCUGCAAGUGUCAGAAUAUGGAGUAUAUAUAGGGACAGUCGAUCUCAAUGCAACGUGCAGAUGGUAAAGCAGCACUUGAGCUCCAAGGUCAUUCUACUUAAAAAAAAUAAUAAUAAUACUGUAAUUUAUACUACUAGUAGACUAUUUUGCAUAGCUAGGAGUAAUGUGAAUAAUUAACAGUUUCCAUGGAAGUCCUUGAAGUCAGCAUUUUAUUUGCUAAGAAUUGUCGUAUAGCACAUGCUAUAGGGGUAUUGCCUGCUAGCUAUGGGGUAGUUCAGAUGUCUCUACAGAGACAGCGAGAACAACAAAAUUACAGUAUCCUCAGACCUCACAAACUGAAAUGAUGAUUGUGCACUGGAAGAAAGGCUGCUCCCUUUUCAAGAAUGUGUGUGGGUUCUCUUUCUAGAUAUAGCUUUGAAAGCUGUCCAAGCUAAAACUCCUUCCUGCUCUUGCUUUUAAUGUAGGCUGUGGCACCUUUUCAUUGAAGAAAGAAACAAAUCCAGAUAGAUAGGUUUUAGAAAUAAAAAUGGCAACCAUUUCACACUGUGUAGAGAAGCUACAUGUUACAAGUUAUCUUGGAAGAAAUGGAGUAGUGGGCAGAGUGCAGGUGGAGUGUUCAUAGCUGCAUGUAUAAUUCACACUCAGUGCUAUGGCUGCUAUAAAAAAAAUUGAUACAUAAACUCUAAGGCAGAUAGAAUUUAUCACAUAUCUCUGCUGUUUGUCACCUGAUUAUCAGUAGUAUGUAUAGACGUGUCUGUAUAGGUUCGUCUUAUUUUCUUUCUAAAUAACAUAAGAUAAAUCUAUAUUAACUCCUGUAAACAGAACUAGAUGAUUUAGUGUAAAAUAUGACUAUGAUUUUUUGGGUCUUUAGCUGGAAAGAACUUCCUUCUCACCAGAACAAAAUGUAUCUGUUCUGACUCCUAUGUUUACUUCUCAUUGGGUGAUCUGUUACAUCAGUGUUUCAUUUUGGUUAGCUCAUUCUGUUGAAAUGUACAACAAUUAAUUUAUCUGUAAUAAAAUAUGUAAAGAUAACAAGAUCUAUUAAUAGUUUUGAUCAUUAUAGCAUCUUAAUUAAAUAUAUUACGCUUCAUUACAAUAGCUAAGACAGACACCAGUUUCUGAGAAGUACAAUAUCAUAGUUUUGUCAUUUGCUUGACAUAGGGUAUUUCUAAAAGAAUGAGGAACGAUUGAGGUAUAUUCUUGCUGUGGUAAAUAAAAAAUUAUCUUUGGGACUUUGAUAUGAUAUUGAAAAAUGACCUGUUAAAGUGGAACAGUAGGAAUUUGAACUACAAUAUAGAAUUGUCAGCUUUCUGAGAGAGACUUUUCCCCUACUUUAAAUUGUAAACACCUACAAAUCCAGUGCAUAGCAGACAUUUUAAUAUGCUUGCCUUGAAGCCUCAAAAGCAAAAUCCUGUGUAUAAAUACUAUGACUUCAAAAAAGCAGGGAGAAAAAUAACCAUUGGUGCUUAUGAAUAUGAAGUCUGCAGAGUAUAAGCAGACUGAAUUUAUAGAAAAAACCUUGAACAAUUCCUACAACAUCAACCCAGCUUCAUUCUGAACUGUUGAGCCAGAAAUAUGAGAAAAUGAAGUGACUGAAGCCUGUCAGAAAAGAAAAACCGCUAGUGGAAUGAUGAUAUGAAUCCACAGAAGGUCGUACUGAAUCCAGUAUCUUCACUACAUUGAUUAAAUACUGUUACUAUUCAGGUGAAUUGAAACCUUCAUGAAGCCAUGGUGAAGUUGUGCACAAUAAAAAGUCAUUUGUCAUUUGCAACUCAGUCGGACUCUGAAGCAGGGAACUGAUUUCUCCUCUUUUUUUUCCCUUCAACUGAGUAAUAUUAGAUGGCUCAUAGAAAGAAAUAUAUAUUGUGUAUAUGACUUCCCAGUACCUUGGUUUAGAGCAAUCAGAUUAGGCAGGACCUGUUAUGAGACUAGGCUUUCCAAAUAUAGCACUACCUUAAUAUUAUAGUUUAUAGCUCGAGUUCAUCCAGUUUGCAUAAAACAGUGCAUAACAGCUGGACUCAUUUAAAGAUGAAUCUGAAGCCUGCAGUUACCACAGGUUACAAUAUGCUCUGCUGUUUCUGGAUCCAAAUUAUGAUAUCUGAAUCUCAUGCUGCUUGUUAUAGAAAAAAAGAUCUUUUUCUUGUCAGAAUGGAUUUCUCACUAAAAUGUAUUCAGUAAUUGAAAAUUAAGGAGUUUAUGUGUGUGUAUGUGAGUUUUCAACUCCAAAUUUAAUUAAAACCUUCAUCAGUUUAAUAUUUCAGUUUGAGGGAAGAUUAAUUGAUCAAAGUCAGAGGCAUUGCCCUCUGCGUACUCCUAUGGCCCAGAUGAUUGCCAAGGAGGAGGUAUUUACAUCAAGAUUUUUCCCUUACUCAGAACUAGUUACUUACUCAGUACCUAGGCUGGGUUGAUCUCCCACAUUUCAGUCACACCUCCUUCACAUGCAGCCAUUCAGUGUUCUGUGCAGAUCUUCUCAAAUUCUUGUGUGGGAGCUGCUCUAUUUUGAAGAAAUUGUUCAGGGAAGUUAUUCCAAAGUUAAAUUUGAUCUGAUCUGCCUUCCUUAAAAUGAACAUUACACUGGUGAGGCUGCACCUUGAGUACUGUGUUCAGUUUUGGGCUCCCCACUACAAGAAAGACAUUUGUGCCCUGGAACAUGUUAAGGGAAGAACAAUGAAGCUGAUGAGGAGUCUGGAGCAGAAGUGUUAUGAGGAGAUGCUGAGGGAACUGGGAUUGUUCAGUCUGGAGAAGAGGAGGCUCAGGGGAGAAUUUAUAGCUUUCUACAAUUACCUGAAGGGAGGUUGUAACAAGGCAGGGAUUGGACUCUUUUCCCACAUAAGUAGCGAUAAGACUAGAGGGAAUGACCUUCAGUUGCAGCAGGGGAGAUUCAGGUUGGACGUUAGGAAAAACUUCUCUGAAAGAGUGGUCAGGUACUGGAAUUGGCUGCCCAGGGAGGCAGUGGAAUCACCAGCCCUGGAGGUGUUCAGGAAACAUUUAGAUGUUGUAUUAACGGACAUGGUUUAGUGGGAAAUACUAGUGGUAGGUGGAUGAUUGGACUGGAUGAUCUUAGAGGUCUUUUACAGCCUUGGUGAUUCUGUGAUUCUGAUUCUAUAUAAUAGACUUUUCAUCAUUAAAAAAAUCUUAUUUUAAUACCACUAUUAAAUAUAUUAUUUAGGAUGAGCUAGGACUUAUAAACAUCAGAUAUGUAAAAAAUGCCCAAACAGCCUAACAGAAUUAUUCCAGUUUUUGAUGCCUGUCAGAAGUUUGACAUUGAUUUAGUGAGAUUCAGCAAAACUUUUUUUUUUUUUUUUUAAUUGCAGUAAUAUUCAGUGGGAACGAAAAUAGUAAGUGUAGAAGACCUAUUCAUAUUCAAGAGUAACACUGGAAACUAUGAAAAUGACAACUUUGAUACAUACAUAAUUCUUCAUACCCGUACAUGAUUUGCUUUAAAAUUAAAAACAGAUUAGGUAUGCAGCUAGGGAGACUCUAUCUCUGACAGGGCAAUUCCUGUAUUCUUAUAACAAUCUGCUAUGUAUUGCAAUAAGUAAUAAUUAAAAAUACUGAAGUUAUUUUUGAAUAAAAAAUAUUGUGAAAGAUUUUCUCCUGAUAGGCUUUACAUAAGUGAUAGAUUUCAAUGUAAUAACCAUAAAAUUAAGACUCUGACUAGACUUAAAAAAAAGUUUUUACUACUUUAUGUAAAAUAAUUCCUGCAGUUUACAGCAAAAGCAAACCACAGCUAUGCUGUCACGAACACAGCAGAACAAACCUCUGCUCUAUCAUUCACAUAUGCAUAGUAGCACAAAUCAAAUAAAGAGCAUUCACGGAUGUUUAAGGCUAAAUUAAUGAUUUCCUCCAAUAAUUAGGUUGACAUUAUUUCAAAUCCAUAGAGUUAAACUAUUCCAGAAUCCUUGUUCUCUAACAUUCAGUUAUAGAACAGUUGUUCCUUGUCUCUCAGAGAAAAAGCAAAAAAAAAAAAAAAAAAAAAGGAAGGAAGAAAAAGUAAAAUAGUGAACCAAAAAAACUUAUACUUUCAGUGAAACAUUUUGGAAGCAUGAUGUACAACAGCAGUAUGUUACAAAGCAUUUUCAUUCUAAUAAAAUCAGCAAAUACCAAAUAAUCUGCUAUGCUGUUGUGUUGCUUCUACUGAAAAGCUUUCAAAAAUCAGUGGAAAAAUCUAUAGUGAUGUUACAAGAUAACCUCCUUUUAGCAGCGAAAGCUCAGCUUUUUCAACGUGCUUUAUCUCCUCUCAUUAUUUUUUUUACAUCACCAUAGAAGAGAUCUGAAACUUGACAAAAAUAUUUUUUGAAAUAUUGGUUGUUUUUUUUUUUUUAAAUUUCAGAAACACUUACUUACUGCACAGGCGACAGAGUACUGGCAUAGGUUGUCCAGAAAGGCUAUGGUGUCACCUCCUUGAAGUUCUUCAGAGGCUGCCUAGACAUGGGCCUGUGCACUCUUCUCUGGGUGGCCCUGUUAGACUGGGGUUUGGACCAGAUAGACCCAGAAGUCCCUGCCAACCUCAACCAUUCUGUGAUUGUGUAAAUGCUUAGAAUAUGAAGACCAUGUUCUGAAUUUGCAGUGAGGAAUUAUAAAAGUUGCUAACUGAGGUUCUAGGUGGUAGAAGAUUUUAUUUCAAAUGACAUUACCUAAGAGCACCAUAUGAUUUGAGUCUCACUCUUCAUAGAAUAAAAUUUUGAGUAAUUCAGCACUCUCUAAUGUAAAUUUCUUCAGUUAAAUAUGGUUAUUUAGAAUCCAUUAAGAUUGAUUAACAAAGCUGUCUCUAAUACUUUGAAGGUUGUAGGGAAACUGUUCUUUUUUACUUAGAGAAACUGUUCUUUUUUACUAUUUGAAAUAGUUUAUAUUACUCCAAUUGAAUUUAUCCACACUUACACAAAGCUUCUUAAGUGUAGUGGAAAAAUAUCAAUCCUACUAAUGCAAAUUUGUAUUUUAGGCAGAAAGCCAGAGCAAAAUGUCUGUUUUAUAUUCAUAAUUUCAAUCUGGUGCACCUGAAUGCAAUUCAGUAAAGGCAAAUUUUUACUUAAAAAACAAAAAUAUUGAUGAAAUAAUAUCCCAAAAUAUCCCAAAAUUUUGCAGGUUUUUUGCAAGAUCUUCAAGAUGAAUAAUAGCCAAAAGGAGAGCCUGAUCAGAUGCUUAGGUCCUCUUCAUUCUUUCUGCAUGAGAUAAACUUGCUUCAUCAAUUCAAGCAACCCAUUACUACAGUGAGUUGUUUACAUGCUAGCAUUAGCUAACAUAUACUAGAUUUCUUAGUCUUCCAGAUAAGCUAGAAUGUCAAGCAUAUAUUUUGGUGGUGCUGUGUAUUUUCCAGCAAUUACCAGUUAACCUUAAUGUGAAAUUCAAGGUGUUGGCACAUAACCCCCAUUGUUUAACAUCUCAUUUCCUUCAAGAUAGCUUUCCCGUCUGUGCAUAGCCAUGUUUCCUAUAUCUAGUUGCCUGUCCCUUGAGUAGUGAAGUCACAUGCUAUUCAUUGUGCUGGGCUAACAUUUCUGGAACUGCUUCUUGCUGGUUAAGUGUGUGACUACUUUGAGCUAUGUUCAAGUUUUCUACUUUGCAUCUCUUGUCAUUUAGAUUCCCUGCAAUUUCUUUUUGGCUCUUUGAUCUUUUCAGGGAGUUAGUUCACUUGCUGCAAGGGAUCACUCUAUCUAAGAGAAAAAUUCUCCUUUUCCCUUUCAUCAUGUUUAAAUCCUGCAUGUUUAAAUCCCAGAUAUCAUGGAAUGGGAGUUUUACAUGUGCUCAUGUCAGUAAUUAUAGUUAAAAUUACUUAGAAUCUAUGCUGCUGUACUAAUUUAGGAGCAAAUACCUCUGUGCAAAGAACAACAAGUCCAUUACAAUACACAUAGUGGGAAAUUUUGUGAGCUUUUUUUCCCAAAUAUGUGAGUAUAUGAUAUGGUUUGUGGCAGUUAAUAUCAGACUUUGAGAGUAAUGUUUCUUUUUAGUAAAAUCACUCCAUCCACUGUUAUAAUACUCAUAACAUUGAAUGUCAUGCCUUUCAGUAGCUUAAGUGAGAGAGAAAUGAGAGAUAAAAACAUUCUGUAUCUUCCAAAUUUGAGCUUUUUAUCACCCAUAAAGCAUUUACUGAUUGUAUAAAUUUUCACAUCUUUGCUUUUAUUUACCUGGUAUAAGGAGGACCAAAACUAUCAGCAAAGACACAUUGUGUCUGGUAUUGACUGCAGCCAUGUGGUUAGUCAAGGAAUAUUGCUGUGGAAUAGACUUAUUUCUCCUUGUGGGUUCUCCCAACUUCAGCUCAUCAGUAUUUUAAGGACUUUCUGAACCAAAAUUUGAAUCCAAUUUAUUUUGCUUAGUAGCCUACAAUGACCCUUUAUUCCAGUCUAUGGUCACUUUCCUAAUGCAUUUAGAAGUCUAGCAUUGAAAGCAUCUAAUAGAAAUAAAUGCCCCAACUGAAAUAGGCGGAGCAUAGAAAGUCCUUCCUUAUUGUUAGUUUUAAAUCAUACGCUUAAUUAUUUCAUUUAGUAACCCUAUUAGGAGAAAUAAUGAAUAAAUAAUUUCUUAUUCACACUUUCAUCACAUUUGUUGCUGCACUGAUAUUUAUAGCCACACCUUCUCCAAGCUGUAGACUGUGAACCUCUCCCUCCACAGUUGUAAAUUCUUGGAUUAUGGAAGCCAUUCUACUUGUUUGAUCUGUCUUAUCCCAUUUUCUGCACCUGUUCAAGUUUUUCAGCUUCAUAUAUUUGAAGAUUAGGUAAGUAAAACUGCAUAUUAUCCAUAGAAUGAUACCAUGGCCUUAAAGCAACAUAGUGACAUUUUGGUUCUCUAUUGCCAUUAUUGCCAUCCCAAUAAUUUCUAGCUUUUUUUUUUUUUUUUUUUUUUUUUUGUCUUUGGAAUAAUUCUGAUUAAGCUCCAAUUUUCAAAACUAUCUCCUAUGAACUCUUUCUAGACUAGAUGGACUGGAAACGUCAUUUUAGAAGCUACCUUCAGGUGCAGUAUUUUGUAUUUUGUAAACACUGAAUUACAUGCUUUUUUGUUGCUCAGCUGCAAUGCCAAGUAACUUCCUAAAUCCAUUCCAAUUCCAAUUUUAACUGGCCUGAAAAAUUUUGUUUUGUAGAAAUCAGGAAAAUUUUGAAGUCUCAGACAUUUGCACCAUACUACAUAUAUUCAUUGUUCAGUUAAUGUAAUCCAAUUCAGGUGAUUUCUUUUCCUUCAGUUUAUUGCAUAUUGAUUUAUUCUAUCACUUUUUAUUCUAAAACCUAUUCUGCUGACUCCAGUCUAUAAUGUUCUAGACUUAUGUCCAAAAUAAAAGAAAAACAUUUCCUCUUAAUGAACAUCUUUAGAAAGAAUUAGUUCAGUUUUACUGCUCUGAGCUGCUCAUACAACACACUCAUCAUCUCUAAACACUGCAAACCUUUUGGCUGAUUGAACUCUUCUAAUGUCAUUUAAAAAAAAUGGUUCUUUCCUGAGUUUAAUACAUUCACAAAGUACGUCCUCAAAAUAUCUUUUUGGUCUGCAUUGUAAUUCUUUUACUUUGAACUUCCCAGAUAUUAUGGUAUCUCUUUUCUUCUGAUCUGGACACAAAUUAGUUUUUGAAAGGCAUGUUUUACUGCUAAUGGCUUCUCUCAUUUCUUUUGGUCUGCUUGAAAUCUUACUGAUGUGUAAUAUCAGUAUUGCUCUGAUAAAUAUACUCCUUUUGAGGCACACAAAGUCACUCAAAUUUACAAAGGUUUUGAGAAAGGACAGACAAGAGUUAGCCACAUCACAGUCCUUGAGUCAAUGUACCACAGCAGCAGCUAAUAUAGUCACACCCAUUGAUUUCUUCUGGAGCUCCCUGCUGUGUUUUGAACACUACCCAUGAUAACUGUACACAUUUUGUUUUUAAGCUUCUCCUUUUCAUUUUGUUUUAGUAAGCAUCCUCACUUUCUCCAUUAGAAAUUAGGUAUUAUUUGGAUUUUACUUUUUAAGUAUAUUUCCUACAAUUAUUCAGAUCUUUAUUUUACUGUGACUAUAGCAACAUGGAUCUUAUAGCCAGUAUGCCGUAAGCCAAAUUCUGUACAGCUAUGCAAUUUAACAUGAAACUGUAAAUAGAUUAUUACAUAUGUGUAUCUAUAAAAUAAAACUAUUGAGAUGUAUAUAAGAAUAAGAAAAAAAAUAAACAAAUUUUUACUUAACAAAGAAAAUAAAUCAAAUACUAAGGAUUGCAUGUUGAAAAUCAGGUGUAAACUCUGCUAAGAUGACAGAACACCCUCAAAGAAAAGCGUUUUUAACAAAAGCAGUUACACUUCAUCUACUGCAGGCAAAAUACUAAAUCCAUCAUAAAUAUAGCUGCUAUUAUUAUGUGGCAGAACAGCGAAAAGCAGAUGGACCUUAUUUGCAAUAAUGUAGCUGGGCUGAAGGUAUUUUUCCACCUCUCUUCCUGUAUUAAUAAUGACAGGUGGUGUUGAAGAUAAUUUUAACCAGAUUAUGAUGAGCUAUAGUUCAAAUUCAAAGACAUUUUUUUUCCAGCUUCUCAUGCUGGUAUAUGACUGAACAUACUUUUAAAUGCAAUUCUUCAAAAACAGCAUUUGAAGAUUUGUGUGUGAGAGAGUUGAUGAGGUGCUUGCCUUUUCUGAAAAGAAUUCUUUGAAAAACUUAAAAAGCAUAUAUUUCAAAAAAAGGUUCCUCUGACUUUCAUGUGAAGAUACCUAUUUUGAUAUGAAAAUGCCUGUAAAUGGAAUUUCCGAAUAGCAGAUUCCCCUCUUAAAAAUAUAUAUAUAAAUAAAAAAUAAAAAAGGAUCACAAACUAGAUGAAGAACAAAAAGAGAAUUCAAAGAGAAUUCUGUGCUUACUUUAGAUCUUGCAAGCUAAUAAGAUAGUGUAUUAAUUACUAACUGAUUGCAAGGUAGUGUUUCUGCUUUUUAAGAAGGAAAGAAGUUUAUAAGUUUACGUGGUACUUGGUUUAACUCAUAGCUCAGUGAGAUACUUUCAAAGCUACCUCAGUCCUUGGAAGAGAAUUUUGGUUUCUUAACUCAUCUUCUUUGAGUUUCACCUUCUGUGCUAUGUGUAUUUAUGCAUAUGAACGUAUGCAGAUAUGUGCAAAUGACUGCAUAUGUUCAAACUUUCAGUAGUUACUUAACAGUCUGUAGGGGGAAAAUAAUGUAAAAUUACUUAGUGCUUAGGCUAUAAUUUAUAAUUUAAGUGAGGAAAGAAAUUAUUUGUGAAAGGGUUAAAAACCAUAAAAACCCUGUUCAUGUGAAUGGAGAUAUCUUUUAAUGAAAUAUCAGAUAGAUAACUUGUGUUUUCUCCUUUGUGAUUGAAAUUUUCAUUUUCUGAAGAAAAAGUCUAUUCUCAAACAUAUGAAAUUGAAGAUACAAAUAAUUUUUUAAAAAAUAUUGUCCAACCCCAGUAUUAUUUUGAAUGACAUCUGAAUUAGCAACCUACAAGAUUUGAAGGAAUGUUAGCUGGAGGUAUUUGAUCAUUUCAAAAGACUUAAUUUUCUUAAAAAAAAAAAACAGUACAAAGAACAGUGGUAAUGGAUCAUAUUUCCAGUCACCGAGUCUGAAUAAUUACAACUUCUGUGAAUGUUUGUUUAUUCUGCUUGUUGAAACUAAAACUUGAUGCACUUAGAUUCUGCCAUCUGAAAUAAUUCUGCAAAAGUUUAUAUCGUUGCAAGUACAUUAAAGUAAUAAUAUGGUACUUUCUUAGACCAUGUUUGAAUUCAUUUUUGUCAUGUUCCUAUCCUGAGAGACAGCUGCUUGCAGAUUCCUGGAGCCUGGGAUUCUUGCUAAGGACAUGGUCUCCUCCUUCCUUCUGUUUGUACAUCAGGUGGUUUCUUUGCUAACUGCUUUGCCCAGUCAAAGUCCCAGCCAUGCUUACAGCAAGCUUACAGUCUAUUUAAAAAUUCAGCUUAAGCCAGAACAUGUUACAUGAGGGGUGAGUUCCCUUCACUUGGGUGAUCCCUUAAGAGGGACUGAAGCAUUGUUUGCCUUUUCCAAUGUGAACUCACUAAGGUCACUCAAAGAUGGUUCAGAAAACAAAGAUGUUUCUCCCAAAUCAAUUCCCUGUCAUAAAAAGGAUCUGCAUGAGACACAGCCUUCCUUUUAAAUACCUUGUUGUGUUUGAAGACUGUGCUCCAAUCCAAUAUUUUAAUUUGUACUUGGUACCAAGUGUUUGGUAGAACCUUGUCACUUGCUGUUAAGUCUCAUCAGCAUGCACAGUGCUGUAGCCCUUUUCAGAUAUUGACUGUUAGUUACUGUACAAAGUAGCAAGGUAAUUAGCAAUAACAGUAGAUAUCUACUGCUAAAAUUGCUAAACUUCUGAGGCAGCAUUUUAACUUAAUAUAUCAGAAUUGGAUCUGUGAUACUGUUAUCUUGGUUCACCCAGAUGUAAUAAAUCUGACUAAUUUAACUAAACAAUAAGUGAAGUUAUGCAGCUACUUUAUUACAGUUUAAAAAGGUAUUUUUCAAUUUAGCGUAAAUUGGAAUCUGUUUAAACUAAACUAAAAUAAACCACUUUUAAACUGGGUUAUAUAUCCACAACGCAACUUAACUAAUUCACUUUUUAAAAAAGAUUAAGUUAAUAAACCUUAAAGCUAUUGUUGGAACAGAACUUCAUUCUUUCUAUAUGAAAAUAGUAAAAGUCAGUUAAACGAGGUUUUAUUACCUUAACUGAAAAAUUGGAAAGGAGUAAUAUUUGACACAUGGUAAUCAGAUUGCAUCUUUGCUUUUCUGAAAUAUACUCAGAUAGAAAGUAAAGGUAUGAAAUAAAAAUUUGGCUUGGAUAGAAGACAGCAGUAAGUGUAAACACUAAAAAAAUGUGUGACAAAAUAUAGAAUCAUAGAAUCACAAGGUUGGAAAGAUCAUCUAGUCCAACCAUCCUCCUAUCACCAUUACUACCGACUAAGCUACUAAACCAUACCUUGUAGCACCUCCAUACCUUGUAGCACCUCAUCCAAACGCCUCUUGAACACUGCCAGGGAUGGUGACUUCACCACCUUCUUGGGCAGGCCGUUCCAGCAUCUGACCACUGUCUUAGAGAAAAAGUUUUCCCUUAUAUCUAAUAUAAAUUUCCCUUGGAGCAACUUGUGGCCAUUUUCUCGGGUCCUAUUUGUUGCCUGGGAGAAGAGCCUGACCCACUCCUCUUCACAGCCUCCCUUUCGGAAGUUGUAAUGUGGUCUCCCCUGAGCCUCCUCUUCUCCAGAAAAAUCACAUAAAACUCUCUGAAAAGUAUGUCCUUGUACCUUUAGGGGAGACAUGAGAUCAAAAUGAACAAACUGUCCUGGUUCAAAGGCUGGAUUAUUUGCUGCAGUGAAGGCAGUGAACUGUAGUGAUUUAUUUAUAUUACAUAAUUGUCUACUGUCUUCUAAUAUACUAUGAAAAAGUGAUACAUUUUGUAUGCAAACCAGAGUACAGGCCAAAAAAGAUUUUUGACAAUAGUAUUUAAGAUAAACUGUUAUUAGUCUUCAAGUAUAUGCUUCAGUUCUAUUGAACUGCCAAGUAAAGAGAGCCUUAAGCAUGGACAUCUUCGAACUGGGACUCUGCAUCAUUAUUAGCUCUACCUAUGUAAGCACACUACCUAUAGUUGAGUGUAACUGAAAAAAGAAAUUACUUGACUUCAGAGUAGCAGAGUACCACAGCAACAUUUGUGUCAGAGUAGCCUGAGGCCUUUCUGUGGUUGAGAGGGGUCUGAAGUGAUGAAGCUCUGCUGCAAAAAAAGAGCACAUACUAAUUUGUACUCUACCAUAUAUCACAGCAUUGGGAAAAUAUUGAAGAUCAGUUUCAUCUGGCUUUGAUAACUUUUGUAGAUCUUAUUUCAGUGACCUCUUUUCCAGCAGAAAGCAGCUCCAUUUCUGUGAGGUUCCUUAACAUCACAUUGGUCAUUGCAAGUGCAUCUAGGCACGUCUCACAAUGCCAAAAAAUGGAAAACUGGACUGGAGACUUUUCACAAAAAUACCAAAGCAUAUCAUAUUUGGAGUCAUGAAGUGCACUAUUAUCAUAUGACUAAGAUUUCUCUUGAAUCCUUCACUUGAAUCCUUGGCUUUGUAACAGCCUGUUGUGAUUUAACCCAGCAGGUGGCUCAGCACCACACAGGUGUUCAAAGACUCCCCACUUCCUGGUGGGAUGGAGGAAAUAAUAAUAAUAAUAAUAAUAAUAAUAAUAAUAAUAAUAAUAAAGUAGACUAAGAUAGAGAAAAGGAAAAGGGUAAUAAUUAUGACAAAUUUGUAUAUAAAUGUAUAUAACAAGUGAUUCACAAACAAUUGCUCACCACCCCUUGAACAAUGCCCAGCUAGUCCCCUGAGCAGCAGAAGAGAGUGAGAUGAAUUCUCACUCCCUUCAAAACUCCUUCUGUGUGAUAUCAUGUGGUAUAGAAUAUCCCUUUGUCCAGUGUAGGUCAACUGUCCUAAUUGUAUUCCCUCUCAGCUCCUUGGGCCCCUCACUAUGAAUGGCCUCAGCUCUGUACAACACUGCUUAGCAGCAGCUAUAAACAUCAAUGUGUUACCAACAUUUUUUUUAUUGUAGAACCAAAACAUAGCAUCAUACCAGACACUAUAGAGAACAGUUCCAUCCUAGAUGAAACUAAGGCACUGUUGAGGUCUGCAGACCUUCUGGAGGCAAAGCACAGUAUUUGCACUAGCAAGUUAUGGAAGAGAAAAUGAUGAACAAUUUCUCUUUAAGAGGAGACUCUCCCUUUCAACAGUGGAGUCUGCUCUUGACAAGGCAUGAAACUGGAAAUUGCAUUUGGACAAUUAGAGAGAAGAAUGUGGAUAUAUGUUAUUGUUGUCCUAUAAGGAUAGUCACUAGUGAGGGAGGCCAUUGUUAAGAACACAAAAACAUUUUGGUUGAAUGGAAUGAGAGAGACGAAAAAUCCAUCUUAGGUAGUUACUACGUUUCCAUAGCAGAAGGCUAACAUAGAAUAUCUAACUGUUUUUAAAAUGUGUGCUUCAUUCAGGAUAAAAUGUUGCCAGAAUCCAGUUAUUUAAAAAUAAAUAAGCAGCAGCUUGAAUGCAGAUAAAGGUACCCAACUCAAUUAGGAAGGAUUUUUUUUUUUUUCCAAAUCUGAAAGCAGGCAUUAUCCUCAUUCGAUAGAAAAACACAGCUGUGCAGUGCUGAGAUACUAAUACAUUCUGCAUUCAGCAGAUUGUAGAGAAAACAGGCAUUCUUAUUUUGGAUAGAAUUCAAACUUUUGGCAGUGUUUUCCAGAUUUUGAGGCCAUUUACAUCACUUCAUUAUAACACACACACAUUGUUCAUACCUUGUUGUGUGCUGAUUAACUGUAAGUAUUUACAUAUUAUUGCUCCAUAGCUUAUUGAGAGGCAUUUCAUUUCAGAAUUUUAAAUAUUUAGUGACCAGGUAUUUAGCUGCCAAAUACAAAUUACCGCAUCUGCUUCUUAGGAGGAAAAAAUCUAGCCAGUGCAGUAAGACAUUCUCCAUACCUAAGCAGUGAAGUGUGUAAAAAAUGUAGUAAGCUAAAUAAAUAUGCAGUGGUUCCUCUGAAACAAAAAACAUACAACAAUAUAUAUUUGAUUUUAAUUAAAAUUAGAAUUUAGAUUCCAGUGUAUUAGUAUGUUAUUGAUAUUUUAUGUUAAAAUACAAAUACAAAUGAAUGGAAACACUAAUCAUUGGAGGAAUGAAGAAAACAAAAAGAGAAUGUCAUUAAAGCUUUUUUAAAUUGUCAUUUUCAUCUUUUUCCAGUGAUUAUUAUUCACAAUUUAGAUUUUUUUUUACUUGGUUUUCAGUGUUUUGUGGUUUUGCUUUUUCUUUGACUUGAUGGAUGACUCUUAGACUCUUUAACAUGUACCUAAACAAUAAUAGCUUGAUUUUCAAAGUUAUAAAACAUCUUCUGCUCUACCUGAUUUUUCAUUAUUUGACCAUACAACGAUUAUUAAAAUGAGUGUAAUGGGAUCAUUAAAAAGAUGAUGCAUCCCUGAGUUAUGUCAGGUAAGGUUUUUCCAGUAGAAAGUGAAAAGUACAAAAUCUAUUUUAGAAGAUAUGUCUCAAUCUUCAGAUAAAGAAUACAGAGUAUAGGUCCUGUGUUUGCAUCCACAUACAAAGAUUUCAAAAGCAUCAAAUGUAAACAGAAGCUAUUGGUAUGAUCAGAGUUCUGCAGAGCUUACUAGAACUGACUGAAAUAGCUUGCUUAUUCAGUGAAAAAAAAAAAGAAAAAAGAAAAAGGGCUCCUGAGAGGUUAUUAUUGUUGUCUGUAUAGGCAACGGGGGCUAAAGACAAGCAAAGAGAAUCUUAGAAGGCAGUGUUUAUGCAAGAAUAAGUUUUCCAUAUGAACAGCUGGGGCAUGGAGCUGAGAAAUAGUUGUUAUGGAAAGUAAAGACUUUACUGAUGAAAUAGGACACAUCUUUAAUUUUUCUGAAAUCUCCAACAAAUGCAGUAUCUGUUUUCCUUGCUUUCUUAAGUCACUCAGUAAUUUUAAAAAGAAGUAACUUGCUGAACUCUGAAUGUCAGGGUAGCUGUAAAUCUAAUUAACAUACAAGUCAAUGCUUCCUCUAGUUCUGCCUACCUGUCUUUCAUGACACUUACCUGUAGCUGUUGACAUUAGUUAUUCCAGUCUGGAUCCUGAUGCUUCUCAGUUAUCGUGUUUGGCCAUAUAACAGGAUUUACAAUUCAAGCAUUUUUCCUGUACCUCUCAACUUACUGUAGAGAUACUCAUCAAUGAGUUUUCCCCACUACCCAAGCCUGUGAUUAAUAGUGUAAUCUCAUCACCACCACUACACAAUGCAACUGUCACUUAUUUUUCUGACCAGCAGCCUGUGUUUCAAUUUACCUGCAGGCUUUUGUUACUGACUACCACUACGGGUCUUUGUUAAAAACCACAAGGUAGCAUGAUACUCUCCAGGUGAAAAUAAUCCUUUUUCAUGACACGAACUCUCUCUCUCUUCCAUCAGUUCACUGAAAUAACUUGGUAUCAGAGAAGUCAAAGCAUUCUUGACGACAUCAUGGUGCAAAUAAUAAUCUCCAUGAACAAUUUGCUCUUCACCAUACAUGCUUUCUAUUCUUGCACUUUGCUACCAAGAAAAAAUAGCCCUAAAUCUCAGAAAAUUAUGCAGGUUAAUCAACAGGUCUUCAAGUCUCCAUUUGUAAUCUAUGUAUAACCAUUUGUAAAGCAUAAUAUGCAGAGAAUAAAUGUAUCAUAUAUGAAGUCAAGUAUAAUGGAAACAUUCAAGGUCAGGCUGAACUGGGCUCCGUACAACCUAAUCUAGCUGUAGAUGUGCCUGUUCAUUUCAGAGGAGAUAGGCUAGAUGACUUUAGAGGUCCCUUCCAGCUCAAAAGAUUAUAUGAUUCUAUGAUAAUGCAGAUGGAUGAUCACUCAGCUCUCCCUUCCCUAGUAUGAGAGAUUUUACCAGUAGUACAUAGGAAGCUUAUGUAUUUCCCUAAUAUGCAACUACUUUCUUCACAGAUAUUCCACUACAAAAACUCUUUAGAAGAUGUUCAGCAACAAAAUAAUUUCAUUUCUGAAUUUCUUAAUCUUCCAGUAUAGUUGAUUUGACAGUAUAAAAGCCAAUCAUAACUAAAUGCCUAUAUUUCAUUAUAGCAUGUAGGUAUGCAUUCUUUAUUCACAGAUUUUGAAAGAGAAUGACUGAUGAAUGAGGUUUCCUAAUCAGGGUUAAUUAUUAAAACUUGAGCUUUUAAUACUUACUUUAUAUCAUGGACUUGUUUCUUUUAUUACUUCAACUUAAAGCAUCAUGGUCAUAAAUAUUUCAUCAGACAAAUACAGAGAGUCUUCAAAUAGCAAAGUAUUCUGUUAGGUCAGAUGUCAGCUAUAGGAAACUAACAUGAGUUGAUAAGACUUUGAAGGAAUAAAGUUUCUAAUGUGAUAUCUUGUUAAAGUGUUGAGGACUAUUUUAUAUUCCUUUUGCUUUUAGAGGUCCAUUUUUUUUAAGCUGCAUUUAAAAAAAAAAAAAAAAAAAAAAAAAAAAGCAUGUUUUAUCAUGGAACUCUUCCAGAUACUUACUUUCGUUCUGCCUGAAUCACUGAGGUAAAGUGAAGAUGAAAGUGUGUGAAUAUAGGAGGAAUUAGUUCUUUAUAAGAAGCAAAUCCUCUCUGAAUUGCAUGUAGAAUCACUAUGGACACUUUUGUUGUCCUAAAUCUUCCAAAAAUAAAUGCAAAAAGUCAUGUUAUAAGCCAUUCAAAACUAGAUUUUUGGAUAAGCUUGAUAAAGGAUCCAUAAGAAAUGCUAUAAAGCAUUUGUGCACUGUGCUGCUUUACCUUUAUAUUAUGAAUUAUUAUUUUUAACAUAUUUUACUGAGUUUUCUUUUGCUUUUCAUUUUCUUUUAUAAUGUAACCUGUUCAAUUUUCUUUAUUUUUCAAAUGCACAAUUAUACAGUCUAAAAAUAGAUGUUGCUGGAUUUGUCUUCUCACCUUCCAUUUUCCACACAUUUGGAAGUUUAUUUUCAUAUUUUCAUAUGUGUUUUUGUCACACAAUCAGAUAGAGAAUCCGGACAGAAACACCUCACUGGUGGUAGAAGUUAUCUGCUCAGUCAAUUGCAAGGCAGUUUGCUUUGAACUCCUGUAAAGUUUCCUACCUCUUCUAUGACAGGUCACUUAGAAUCAUCUUUCUUGAAAAACUGAUUCUUCAUGAGAAAGUCUGAAGUAAGUCUUGUACAUAGUUUCAUAAAAUCUAACAUCUCAUCUAUAAAACUUUAAAUUCCAGUCACCUGACAUUCAUUAGCCUCUUUCAUUAGAAAAGAAGGUGCCCUUCUAAAAUAAAACAAGCAGAAUGCACUAUUGUAAAUUUCAGGCUGUCAAAAAAUGUGACUGUUUCCCUGCUAAGACUUUACCUGAUCUUGAUUAAAUGGUAAUGGCUUCUGAAAAAUGACAUUUCUUAAGUACUACAAAGGAUCUCAUAAUGGCAUCACCAAGCACAGUUAUGAUAAAUGGGCUCAGAAAGUUGUCUUAGUGUAACUGAUAUCAUCCUUACAGGAGUCUUACUUUCAGAUAUUUUAAGUUUUGAAUGCCAGCAAUCACUGAUGUGAACACAAUAUUACAGUAUUGAUUUUGAAUACAGGAAUAGAUAUUCAAAUUAGCUGGUUUACUAUUCCCUUCUCUGUAAAGCAGAGGGCCUCACUUUAGGUUCUGGUAAUUCAUUUGCCUUGUUGUGCUAUUAUUUAUGUGUGCUAGAUUGCCAGACUUAAGAGGAUGCCCAAGUUAGGUUAUGUUUUAUUUUUGUUUUAUUAACUCCAGCCUUGGUCGCUUGUUCACUUACUCUUGCUUAGUGCCAUUGUAGACAUUUCAAUUAUGAGUACUAUCAGGAGUUAUGAAAGAACAAUAAAAAUGAUUGAGGGUCUAGAAGGGACUGAUUUAUGAGGAAUAGGAGAAGUGAUAAAUAAGAAGAGCACCUGUCUAAAUUGUGACUCAAAAGUGACAUGUGAAAUACCUGUGAGUGUUCUAAGGUAAAUGCGAGAGGAUUCAUGUAAAGUGGUUCAAAGUAACCAGAAAUGACUGAAUAAAACUAAGUAAAGGAAAGAUUAUGCAUACUCUUCUUUAUAGCCAUAUAUAUCUCCCAGGGGCACUUAAAUAAGUGCUGCAAUUUAACUGAAUCAAGCACAUCAUCAAACUACUUUAAGAAACGAAUCAUUAAUAGUUUAAGAGUUGUUUUUGUGUGAGUAUCUCAAAGUGCUAUACAUCUGGUGCUUAACACCUUAUGAUAUCUUUUGUGUCAGGUGAAGAAUGAAUGCUAGUGAGUAAAGCCAGUCUAGACAUGGAUGUUUGCAAAUUUUACAAAAUCUUCAUCUUAAGAAACUUUAGUUUGAAUCACAAAAUUAGGACAAAAACAAAAAACAGAACAAAACAAAACAAAAAAACACUUCUCCUAGCAGCCUGUCUAAAGUACUCAGAAAGUCUUGGUGAUUUGACACUGCUGUCUCCUAAAGGAAAAUGAGUCACUCUUAUACCAAUCACUCAUAUAUAAAGCUAACAAGUAUGAAAUCUGGGGGUUUCAGUAUUCCUAUUUUUAGAUAAUUAAGCUAUUCUGCUCCUGAGAAAAUUCUUCUGUGUGAACUGCCGCAAGGUAGUACGACUAAUUCUGUUUGUGAUGCUGGCAAUCCUUUGGAUGCUUGUCUGAAUGGAGGUAGAGAAUGUAACUUCCAUAACCUGGUGAGUACGUAGAUACUGGCCGUGAUGAUUGUUCCACAUAGAUACUCCAAUAUUGUGUAAAAGGAACCUGAAGAACUAAAACAUUUCAUUCAUCCCCAGUAACGUUUUAUUUCGUGUUCUUUUCACAAUUUUGUAUUCAUUUUGAUCUGCAACUUUUUUUCAGUAUGUCAGUUCAGCUUUGAAAACAAAAAAAGUCUGUCAGACAGUUGCCAAUCAAAAGUGAGAGUAUUGCCUUUCCCUUGUAAGUCCCAAAUGCCGUUUUACCUGCAAAGCUGUAUGACCUAGAUAUAUUCGUAGCACUAAGAUUAAAUGAGAAAGCCAGCUGUCAAGUAUCUCACAAUAAUACCAGUGAGACAGAGAAAAGGGGAACUUUGAAUCUCUGUGAAGUUGCUCUUUUCAGAAGAUCCAACACACUUUUAUUUUUGUAAUGCAGAGUUAUAAAGAAUAGUUACAGUGUGUUUCCUCUGCUCUAUUAUUUUAUAGCUUUAUUUUCCUAUUAGAAGAGCCUGCUGAGUUUGUAAUGUUCAAGAAAAUGUAUUUUCAUUGUAGCACCUAAAGAAGAUGCAGUUCUUAGGAGAUGACAAAGAGGUUUAUGAUGCUGAUUCUGAAACAGUAUGUGGAACAGAAUGCAGAAUCACAGUAUAGUUGAUUUUGGAAAGAACCUCUGGUAGUCAUCUGGACCAACCUGUUGCUUAAACACGGACACCUAGAUCCAUUUGCCCAGGACCACGUGUAGAUUUUUCAAAAAUUGUCAAGGAGGGAGACUCUGCAGCCUCUCUGAGUAAACUAUGCCAGUGCUCAGUCACCCUCUUGUAAAUAAAGCACAUAUAAUAUAAAAAUAUUAAAAAUAAUUAUUUUUUUCCUUGUAUUCAGACAGAACCUCCUACGUUUCAGUUUGUGCUCAUCACCUCUUGCCUUGGCACUGGGCACCACUGUAAAGAGCUCUGUCCUCUUUGCAUUGUCUCAUCAGAUAUUCAUAUAUAUUGGUAAGAUGCCCCAUGAGACUUCUCCAUGCUAGACUGUCCUGGCUCUCUCAGCCUUUUCUCAAAAGUCAGGUGCUUCAGUAUCAUCAUCAUCAUCACUGUCAUUUUCUGCACUCUCCCUAGUAUGUUCAUGUUUGUCUUGUAUAGGUAUAAUCAGAACUGGACAGAGCACUCCAGUUGUGGGCUUAUGAGUGCUGAGCAGAGAGGAAGGAUCACCUACCUAUCUUUACUUGCUGGGAGCGUUCUGCCUAAUGCAGCCCAGGAUAUCAUUAACCUUCUUUGCUAUAAGGAUAUAUUGUUGACACAUUUUCGACUUGGUGUCCACUGUGAUUCCCAGAUAUUUUUAUGCUAACCUUUUUUUCCAAAUGGUCAGCCUCCAGCAUGUACAGGAAGUUGUCCUUCCUCAUGUGUAGGAAUUUGUUUAACCAUGAUGAGAUCAGGAUAACAAUGUUCAAAUUUAAGGGAAAGUCAUUUGUUUCCCCAUCAUUCUUUUUGCAAACAUCUUCACAAUUCACAAAUUCAGUUUGUUCAUGCACUAUUAGCAAAGAUGUCCUAUAUCGAUAGUAGGCCUACUAGCAUAUAUUACCAUAUAAUCACUCACAUGCUGCCCUGGAUUUUGCCUCUGCCAAGUGUAUCUGGACAAGACCCAGUCAAGAUGUGUGUGUCGGUCAGGAAUCAGUGUGUUUGAUUUUUGGCUUCUUCAAGGAAAGCUGAUAUGCAAAGGUACUUUGAUUCUUAGUAUAAAAGGACUAAUAACUUUCUCUAUGUCUGCUAAUUUAAUCUCUUGCCAAACGUACUCUCUAUUAGCUUUUAUAUUUUUUCUACUUUUACAUCGUACUUCUUGCAAGAACUAGGAUUCUUAUUGCAAUAAUUAAUUCUCUCCAAUAGUAGCAGUGAAACAAUUUUUAGGAGAAUAAUGUUCUUUUUCCUCAUCAUCCAAUCCUACCAUCUUUUUUGGACUUGGAGUGCCUUAUAUAUCAGGAUUAAUUACAGCACCAGUAAUAUGUUAGUAUUUUCUCUCUAGAAUACAGCAGCAAAUGUAGAGGUUGCACCAUAUAUCAUCCAUGUUCAUAGAUGAGUAUAACUAAUACUAAUGCAGUGUACAUGAAAAAGAAAUCUAUCCUGUGGUACUAUGCAUGAGUCACAGAUUCCAUAGUAUUAUAUUUAGAAUAAUAAUAGGACAAGAAAUAACAGACAUUAGAAUAACUCACAAAAUUUAAUGAGGUCAUUAAAUGUUCCCAGGUUGUGUCAAGCUACAGUCCAGUGUUAUAUACGCAUGGUCCUUUUUCUUCUUUUUUCUUUUCCUUUUUUCUUCUAUUAAAAAACCAUGUGCAAUGGAAAUAUAAAUUGCCAUUAAAUUAGAGCAUAACCUUAACGAGGCAAUAUGAGGUAUCUGCAGUUUUGUUCCAUAUUUUCUGCAUAUUAUAGGAAUCAGUGCAAUGAAAGUAAACCACUCCAAUAUAGAUUGUCUUAUAAGUGAGUAAGCCUUAUGGUAAAACUGUUGCUGAUAAAGGCAGCUUAGGAAGGCUAAGACCUGAUACUCAUACAAAAAGGUUGGUGACUAACCUUUUAAAAAGGUCAGGAAUCAGCAAAGAUGCAUUGCUUCCUCAAUCUGCUUGGAAGAGAAGUUAUGACACGCUAAACACCAAAGGAAUGCUUCUCAAAAUGGUAGCAUCAGAGAGGACAUUUUGACCAGUCUCUGAUAUACUUCUGGAAAAGGGAAUAAAUGUUCUAGCAACUUAAAUAAAUAAUACAGUGAUGGAGUAACUGUGAAGAAAUUUUUGGUUUUCCAAAAACUGCAGUGAAGUGUUCUUUCAGCUUGAAUUUUACCUGUCUGUAAUGCGCGGGAUGAGCAAAUGCUGCCAAAUCCUGGUAUUUUGAACUAUUAGUCAAAUUCUGAAUUAAAAGAAAACCUAGGAGAACUACAAACAAUCCACUAUAAAAGAAAAGGCUCCAUAAAUGUUAAUGUCUUCAUUCUUUUGUACAUUCCAUAAAUUUGAGGUGAGGAUUUUUCAAGAGAGAACCUGUUACCAUAAAAGACAUAGUUAUUUCAGCAUAUAAUAUCUCCUCACUUGUCUGUGUUUGCUUUUAUUUGUUUUUCUGAGAUCUCCUUAUUCUUUCAAUAUCUUAACCAUACAUACAGGGCAACAUAAAUUAAUUGUCCAAAUAUUUCAGUUGUAGAUGGCAUUCUUUACUUCUCUAGUACUGAAUCUGUAUGCUAGCCCUGAGUUAGCAGAUAUUAAUGGUGAUUAUCUAACACUGUAGAAUUAUAGAACAAACUGCUUUAAAACCAUACAAGAAUGCUAAGCAGAGCUAGCAAAUGACCCACAGGAAAAGAAAGGAAAGAUUAUUUGUGAGGGACCUUCUAUUUUCUCCAUUAAUUGUUCACCAGCAUAAAUCUUAAAAAGUCACCUUUGUCAGCUGUUCUUGACAUUGGACAUGCGGUUAAUUUGAAGAUCUUUAUUUAGGAUGCUCUGCACUUUGCACAGUAUAGUUAAUACAAAUAAGCUGAUUUUAUCAUAAAGCGGAAAAUGAAAUGCAUUUGCAUUAAGAAAAGUACUUUGCUGAUACUUAUUGAGAAAGAGGACUUUGGACUUAUGCCAGCAUGUUGGGGAAUUAAUUUUGUUGGUCAAAAGCUAUGAUGCUGUCUAAGAUUCUCAACUUCUAUAUAGUGCUGGUGAGUUUUUAUCCCCCACAGAGAUAGCAAAUGGGUUGCUAGGAAACACGAGUAUAACAACGAAUAAUGGCAUCUUGUCUAUGAAAACAAUAUGUGUGCCAAAAGCUUUGUUACUUAAUGAGCUACAUACUUGCUCUAGAAUGCCUUUUUCCUUUGUUUGUGGUGGGUGAACAGGAGCAUUCUGUCUCUGCACAGAAAUAUUUUAAUUCUGAUCACUACUGUAAUAUGUUAGAGUGUACCUAAAUCUAACUCCAAAGUACAGACUUCCCUGAGACUUCUUGGGAUUAUUUCAUUACCAGAAACACACAAGAUGUAUCAGUGAAAGCAUCAAGGGACACUACCUUGUCUUGCCUCAGUCUGGGGGCAGUGAGGGGGAAUUCUUUGUGUUUAACUUUUAAGAGAACCGCAGCUCUGAUUCUCUUUUCAUUAGCCCUGAAGACUAGGUCUGUGCAAAGUUUGGAGCUCUCUGUUCAUGAAUGCAGCCUUCUCCAUAUGAAUACACAUGAAGGAGCAUUGGAAGUACUCUUGUGCCUUCCCCACUUUGAAAUACAAUAAGAGAGAGCAUUCAGACAACUCCACUAACAAGAAGACCCUAGAUGAUAGGGUCUUUUAGACACUGCCCCUGCGUUAUCACUAUAUCUGCAUAGCAUUUAGAGAAGGUUUCUGUGCAAGCAGGAACCUAUGUGGAGGUGGUGAAUACACUAAUGUACCUCUCUUAAUCCAGUGACAUUUUGCACCAGACCAUAGUUUUACUGUGAUCUUACUUAUCCAUAUCACCUGUAACUUUAGGCAGGCAUUGUCAAGGUGACAAACGCAUUGUAACUUUCUUGUGAAACUUUUUAUAGAAACAUCCUGUCCUUUGUUUAAGUGCUAUUGGUUUUAUUGAUGUUGAUAUAAUAGUCUUAUGAGUUAAAAAUAACGUGUCAAAGGGAAGAACAAAACUAAUCUUUUGGUUUUCAGUCUGUUUACCAGAUUCUUCACAAUCGGCAUCUGAAAUCAUAGACAUUCAGGAUAUUGAAUAGGGGUUCCAAGUGUGAAGGUGAAUAACAUUUUUGAGUUUUAAGUAUCAUUUCAGAGGGAAAUUUAUUUCUCAAAAUUUCAGUCAAAAGUACUCACUUUACUUAUCAAAUUUUGCUUUCUUGAGACUGGAAGUUCCUGUCAAACUUGAAUUACAAACUACUGUUUUUCUGGAAUUAUACUGGCAUUAAACGUAUGGUUUGGACAGGAAUGGCUCCUUCUAGAAAAAGUAUUUAUAUAGCCAAAAAGAUUAAUCUGAAACAGAGUGAUAAUGGAGAAGUACCCCAGUCCUAAGGCAUCUCAGAACAGGUAAAUAUGAGAUUUGGAGAGACUGCCAUGUAUACACCAAAACUUUCAGAAUUUAAAACUAUGGCAGUAAUGAGAACUGCAAUUUUAUUGUUAUGAAAGCAAUUGCAGAACAGAGAUUUGAUUAAGGAAGUAAAUGCAACCACUGUGGUUAGAAGAGAGGAAUCUAGAAAAGUGAAAAUGUACUUGUGAAACAUUAGGGUGUUACAUCUGUCAAAAUCAAUCAUCUUGUGAAAGUUAAGCAGUUUAUAUCAAACCACCCACAUACAUACAAUGUAAGCUAUACUAUUAUUCAUAUUUCAUAUUUCAAUGCAAUUGGUCUAAAUAUAAAGAUAAUAAUCAAUAUUGUAAAUGUGCUUAAAGUUCACUAAUUCACAAGGGAAUAUGAAUUUGUCCAACUCUGCCUGACAGAGUUUGAAAAAAACAGAAAUAAUCAGAGAUUCUUGGUUCAUAAA
RNAcentral lists this long non-coding RNA (32759 nucleotides) under Gallus gallus (chicken). The record is from RNAcentral. Lineage: Eukaryota; Metazoa; Chordata; Aves; Galliformes; Phasianidae.